GGUGGCUCAGUGGUAGAGUGCUUGCCUUGCAUGCAUGAGGCCCUGGGUUCGAUCCUUCAGCACCA
Dipodomys ordii (Ord's kangaroo rat) is the source of this 65-nucleotide non-coding RNA. The record is from Rfam. NCBI's taxonomy places the organism in Eukaryota, Metazoa, Chordata, Mammalia, Rodentia, Heteromyidae.